GACGAACGCUGGCGGCGUGCCUAAUACAUGCAAGUCGAACGCUUCUUUCCUCCCGAGUGCUUGCACUCAAUUGGAAAGAGGAGUGGCGGACGGGUGAGUAACACGUGGGUAACCUACCCAUCAGAGGGGGAUAACACUUGGAAACAGGUGCUAAUACCGCAUAACAGUUUAUGCCGCAUGGCAUAAGAGUGAAAGGCGCUUUCGGGUGUCGCUGAUGGAUGGACCCGCGGUGCAUUAGCUAGUUGGUGAGGUAACGGCUCACCAAGGCCACGAUGCAUAGCCGACCUGAGAGGGUGAUCGGCCACACUGGGACUGAGACACGGCCCAGACUCCUACGGGAGGCAGCAGUAGGGAAUCUUCGGCAAUGGACGAAAGUCUGACCGAGCAACGCCGCGUGAGUGAAGAAGGUUUUCGGAUCGUAAAACUCUGUUGUUAGAGAAGAACAAGGACGUUAGUAACUGAACGUCCCCUGUCGGUAUCUAACCAGAAAGCCACGGCUAACUACGUG
RNAcentral lists this ribosomal RNA (508 nucleotides) under uncultured bacterium. RNAcentral's name for it is "partial 16S ribosomal RNA". It matches the Rfam family "Bacterial small subunit ribosomal RNA", at positions 28 to 507 of the family's 1533-position model. The record is from RNAcentral.